This 739-nucleotide ribosomal RNA is filed under the name uncultured bacterium. Its description in RNAcentral is "bacterial SSU rRNA". It matches the Rfam family "Bacterial small subunit ribosomal RNA", at positions 28 to 776 of the family's 1533-position model. The record is from RNAcentral.
AGUGAACGCUGGCGGCGUGCCUAACACAUGCAAGUCGAACGAGAACGGAUUUAAGCUUGCUUAAAUUGUCAGCUAAGUGGCGCACGGGUGAGUAAUGUAUAGUUAACCUGCCUUUAAGAAAGGGAUAACAAUUAGAAAUGAUUGCUAAUACCUCAUAUGCCUUUUAGUCAUAAGAUUGUAAAGGGAAAUGCUUUAGUGCUUAAAGAUGGGACUGUAUGGUAUCAGAUAGUUGGUGGGGUAAUGGCCUACCAAGUCAAUGACGCUUAACUGGUUUGAGAGGAUGAUCAGUCACACUGGAACUGAGACACGGUCCAGACUCCUACGGGAGGCAGCAGUGGGGAAUAUUGCACAAUGGAGGGAACUCUGAUGCAGCAACGCCGCGUGGAGGAUGACACAUUUCGGUGCGUAAACUCCUUUUAUAUAGGAAGAUAAUGACGGUACUAUAUGAAUAAGCACCGGCUAACUCCGUGCCAGCAGCCGCGGUAAUACGGAGGGUGCAAGCGUUACUCGGAAUCACUGGGCGUAAAGAGCAUGUAGGCGGAUUAAUAAGUUUGAAGUGAAAUCCUAUAGCUUAACUAUAGAACUGCUUUGAAAACUGUUAAUCUAGAAUAUGGGAGAGGUAGAUGGAAUUUCUGGUGUAGGGGUAAAAUCCGUAGAGAUCAGAAGGAAUACCGAUUGCGAAGGCGGUCUACUGGAACAUUAUUGACGCUCAGAUGCGAAAGCGUGGGGAGCAAACAGG